UGUGCCUACGGGAGGCAGCAGUGGGGGAUAUUGCACAAUGGGGGGAACCCUGAUGCAGCGACGCCGCGUGGGUGAAGGAGCGUUUCGGCGCGUAAAGCCCUCUCGGCAGGGAAGAAGGAGGACGGUACCUGACUAAGAAGCCCCGGCUAACUACGUGCCAGCAGCCGCGGGAAUACGUAGGGGGCAAGCGUUAUCCGGAUUUAAUGGGUGUAAAGGGGGCGCAGACGGCAGCGCAAGCCAGGCGUGUAAGCCCGGG
RNAcentral lists this ribosomal RNA (256 nucleotides) under uncultured bacterium. Its description in RNAcentral is "partial 16S ribosomal RNA". It matches the Rfam family "Bacterial small subunit ribosomal RNA", at positions 334 to 606 of the family's 1533-position model. The record is from RNAcentral.